RNAcentral lists this ribosomal RNA (483 nucleotides) under Triticum aestivum (bread wheat). RNAcentral describes it as "partial small subunit ribosomal RNA". Lineage: Eukaryota; Viridiplantae; Streptophyta; Magnoliopsida; Poales; Poaceae. The record is from RNAcentral.
AUGCGCGCGAAAAGGCGCCAGCUCGCGCGCAAGAUUUGGCGCGCCGCUUCGCGCGCGCCUAUAAAAGUGUUGCGCGUGCUACGCGCCUUCUCCACGCUUUCUCUUCUCCUCUUCCUCUCCCUCUCUGCCACGCGCCGCUCCAGCGCCCCGCCACCGCCGCGCCGCCGAGGAGCGUCUGGCUACCGCGACGUCCGCCUGCGCCCCAACGGCAGCUACUCCGCGGAGAUACGCUCCGGCGAACUCCGGCUCGGCCUCGGCACAUACGGGACGGCGCGCGAGGCCGCCCGCGCGUACGACGCGGCGGCGUGGCGCCUAGGCUUGCCGCGCGGCCAGAUGAACUUCCAAGAUGUGUACACGCUCCAGCAAGCGCUCAACUUCGCCCCGCUGCCUCGUCUGAACACGGCAGAAGACCGUGCGGAGCACGCCGAGCGGCAACGCCGCCUCCUCGUCGCCCAGGAGGACGAGCGGGUCAUGGCGGAGUGA